This 415-nucleotide ribosomal RNA is filed under the name uncultured archaeon. Its description in RNAcentral is "partial 16S ribosomal RNA". It matches the Rfam family "Archaeal small subunit ribosomal RNA", at positions 330 to 747 of the family's 1478-position model. The record is from RNAcentral.
GUGCAGCAGGCGCGAAAACUCCACAAUGUGGGAAACCACGAUGGGGGAACUCCCAGUGCGCACACUUUGUGUGCGCUGUUCUCCUGCCUAAAAAGCAGGAGAAGUAAGGGCCGGGUAAGACGGGUGCCAGCCGCCGCGGUAACACCGGCCGCCCAAGUGGUGACCGCUAUUAUUGGGCCUAAAGCGUCCGUAGCCGGUCCAGUAAGUCUUUGGGUAAAUCCUACUGCUUAACGGUAGGAAUUCUGGAGAUACUGCUGGACUUGGAGCUGGGAGAGGUCGAAGGUACUCCUGGGGUAGGGGAGAAACCCUAAAAUCCUAGGGGGACCGCCAGUGGCGAAGGCGUUCGACUAGAACAGGCUUGACGGUGAGGGGCGAAAGCUGGGGGAGCGAACCGGAUUAGAUACCCGUGUAGUCC